This 22-nucleotide microRNA is filed under the name Oryza sativa (Asian cultivated rice). RNAcentral describes it as "osa-miR156j-3p". Its record names the gene osa-miR156j-3p. The record is from miRBase by way of RNAcentral. RNAcentral also lists the same sequence under 1 other name. Lineage: Eukaryota; Viridiplantae; Streptophyta; Magnoliopsida; Poales; Poaceae.
GCUCGCUCCUCUUUCUGUCAGC